Molecule: ribosomal RNA, 468 nt
Filed under: uncultured bacterium
Lineage: Bacteria
Description: partial 16S ribosomal RNA
Rfam family: Bacterial small subunit ribosomal RNA
Source: RNAcentral
GACGAACGCUGGCGGCGUGCUUAACACAUGCAAGUCGAACGGAAAGGCCCUGCUUUUGUGGGGUGCUCGAGUGGCGAACGGGUGAGUAACACGUGAGUAACCUGCCCUUGACUUUGGUAUAACUUCAGGAAACUGGGGCUAAUACCGGAUAGGAGCUCCUGCUGCAUGGUGGGGGUUGGAAAGUUUCGGCGGUUGGGGAUGGACUCGCGGCUUAUCAGCUUGUUGGUGGGGUAGUGGCUUACCAAGGCUUUGACGGGUAGCCGGCCUGAGAGGGUGACCGGCCAAAUUGGGACUGAGAUACGGCCCAGACUCCUACGGGAGGCAGCAGUGGGGAAUAUUGCACAAUGGGCGGAAGCCUGAUGCAGCAACGCCGCGUGCGGGAUGACGGCCUUCGGGUUGUAAACCGCUUUCGCCUGUGACGAAGCGUGAGUGACGGUAAUGGGUAAAGAAGCACCGGCUAACUACGUG